This 981-nucleotide long non-coding RNA is filed under the name Homo sapiens (human). RNAcentral's name for it is "non-protein coding lnc-NDFIP2-7:7". The record is from RNAcentral. Lineage: Eukaryota; Metazoa; Chordata; Mammalia; Primates; Hominidae.
UUGGAUGGUUGGCCUCUUGGUUACAAGCAUGUACAUUAUGGCUCUCUCCUUGCCUGGAACUGGAUAUGAGAAAUGCUUGAAUUAAGAUCUGUGAAUUAUCUUAUUUUCUUGUCAGAAGGAUGCAGAUUGCCCAUACUUCAUAGCAGAGCAACAGGAGGGACUUAGGGACAAAAAGCUCAAAGGCAAGGAAGACUGAGGAAGCUAAGUUACUGGCCAUAUGUUUAAUAAAUAUAAGCUUAAUGGCAGUGAAUGUAUUAAUGUCAGCGAAGACAAGUCUAUGAAGUUAAACAGGCACAGAGAGGCUAAGAGUCUUGCCAAAGGCCACAGAGGAAGGAAGAGACUAAAUCUGGAACAAACUUUCUAUUCUCCAUUUCCAGAAGAAACCACUAAACCAUGCUUCCUCUUGUCAUGGAAGCUUAAAAUAUUUGGACUGUCUGUGGAUCCAGGGAGGAAUUUCAGAAGAGCCAGGAUUAGUCAAUCAAAUUAAACUCAAUAUCACCCAAAUAAAGUUGGUCAGAUCAAACUACGUUUAAAUAAGAAUUAAAAUGCCAUUUGUCCAUCACCUAAUGGCUCAAUUUGCUCCUGCCUUGGGUGUGCACACCCUGCUCUGGAACAGACCAGAGCUCUAAAGAAGUGACUGGAAGUUGUGAAUGUCAUUGUUAUGAAGCUUCAAAUUUGCUCUCCUCUUUAGGACACAGACAUGGCAUUAGAGAAGGGCAGAAAACUGCACUUGGCUGUGCAUAGAGAACACUAGAGACCUCUUGUGCAAGAGAGGGGACUAGGUUGCGUAGUGUAAUGAGAGAAGCAUGGGUUUUGAGACCGCUACAAUGUCUGUGUCUUCUUGGCCAACAUUUCAGUAAGAGUAGUAAGCAUAUCUCCACAAUAGGGUUAAGAGAACCAGUGUCUUCUGAAAAACACAUGAAAUCAUCGUAACCCUGCUAAGUCUGUGCUUUGCAAAAAUUAAAACUAAAACUAAUUUUC